Molecule: ribosomal RNA, 434 nt
Filed under: uncultured Lachnospiraceae bacterium
Lineage: Bacteria; Bacillati; Bacillota; Clostridia; Lachnospirales; Lachnospiraceae
Description: partial 16S ribosomal RNA
Rfam family: Bacterial small subunit ribosomal RNA
Source: RNAcentral
ACGGAAGGCAGCAGUGGGGAAUAUUGCACAAUGGGGGAAACCCUGAUGCAGCGACGCCGCGUGAGUGAAGAAGUUAUUCGUAAUGUAAAGCUCUAUCAGCAGGGAAGAAAAUGACGGUACCUGACUAAGAGGCCCCGGCUAACUACGUGCCAGCAGCCGCGGUAAUACGUAGGGGGCAAGCGUUAUCCGGAUUUACUGGGUGUAAAGGGAGCGUAGACGGUCUAGCAAGUCUGAUGUGAAAGGCAGGGGCUCAACUCCUGGACUGCAUUGGAAACUGUUAGUCUUGAGUGUCGGAGAGGUAAGCGGAAUUCCUAGUGUAGCGGUGAAAUGCGUAGAUAUUAGGAGGAACACCAGUGGCGAAGGCGGCUUACUGGACGAUAACUGACGUUGAGGCUCGAAAGCGUGGGGAGCAAACAGGAUUAGAUACCCUGGUA